UGGGGAAUAUUACACAAUGGGCGCAAGCCUGAUGCAGCAACGCCGCGUGAGGGACGACGGCCUUCGGGUUGUAAACCUCUUUUAGUAGGGAAGAAGCGAAAGUGACGGUACCUGCAGAAAAAAGCACCGGCUAACUACGUGCCAGCAGCCGCGGUAAUACGUAGGGUGCGAGCGUUGUCCGGAAUUAUUGGGCGUAAAGAGCUCGUAGGCGGUCUGUCGCGUCUGCUGUGAAAACCCCGAGGCUCAACCUCGGGCCUGCAGUGGGUACGGGCAGACUAGAGUGCGGUAGGGGAGAAUGGAAUUCCUGGUGUAGCGGUGGAAUGCGCAGAUAUCAGGAGGACACCGAUGGCGAAGGCAGUUCUCUGGGCCGUAACUGACGCUGAGGAGCGAAAGCGUGGGGAGCGAACAGGAUUAGAUNCCCUGGUAGUCCACGCCGUAAACGUUGGGCGCUAGAUGUGGGGCACCAUUCCACGGUUUCCGUGUCGCAGCUAACGCAUUAA
This 500-nucleotide ribosomal RNA is filed under the name uncultured bacterium. RNAcentral describes it as "partial 16S ribosomal RNA". It matches the Rfam family "Bacterial small subunit ribosomal RNA", at positions 355 to 863 of the family's 1533-position model. The record is from RNAcentral.